CUUAGAUGGGCUAUAAUUUAGCCCCAUAAACA
RNAcentral lists this transfer RNA (32 nucleotides) under Bettongia penicillata (woylie). RNAcentral describes it as "partial tRNA-Phe". The record is from RNAcentral. Lineage: Eukaryota; Metazoa; Chordata; Mammalia; Diprotodontia; Potoroidae.